This 353-nucleotide long non-coding RNA is filed under the name Drosophila guanche. The record is from RNAcentral. Lineage: Eukaryota; Metazoa; Arthropoda; Insecta; Diptera; Drosophilidae.
CGAUAGACUUAUUGAAUAUAUAAUGGAAUAUAUAUUUGGAUUUCGAUUUCUAGAAUUGAAUCAUUGAAUCAUUUGUGUAUGUGUGUGUGAGUGAGUGUGUGGGUGUAUGAGUGUGAGUGUGUAUUCGACCUAAAUCAGAGUCACUUAUAACACUAAGAAGCAGUCAUUUAUUCUCCAUUUAAAUUUACGUUGUGUCGUCACGUUUUUGUUUUUCUUGAAUCCUGAAACAGAUUUCAAUUACUGUACAAAGUUUUGGGCGCUUAAACCAUAGGCCAUGGGUUCUCUAUAUAAUUUAUACAUACUACAUACGUAUAUGUAUGUAUAUAUGUAUUUGUCUACGUCUACGUUUAUGU